Molecule: ribosomal RNA, 423 nt
Filed under: Triticum aestivum (bread wheat)
Lineage: Eukaryota; Viridiplantae; Streptophyta; Magnoliopsida; Poales; Poaceae
Description: partial small subunit ribosomal RNA
Source: RNAcentral
AUGAAGACCAACAUGGGACUUAGUGAGUUCUCAGGAGAAUUGUCCGAGGCUAAGGGUGUUAUUUCUAUGGAGCUCACAGUCGGAAGCAAAACAUUGCCGACAGCAUUUUUUGUUGUCGAUGUCAAAGGCCAGUAUAAUAUUCUUUUGGGACGCGACUGGAUUCAUGCAAAUUGUUGCAUCCCUUCUACUCUUCAUCAAUGCUUAAUUCAGUGGGUUAAUGAUGAUGUCGAGGUGAUUGAGGCGGACAAUUCUUCUUGCGUUGCUUUGACGGAGGCGCCGGUUGAUUGGCAACAUGGUGACAUGCGAUAUUUGACCGGUAGGGAUUUAUCGGAUUAUGAUUAUAUCAGUAUCGGUAGAGAUGGUUUUGUACCUAUAAAUGCACAGCUGGCUGACAUAGCUCGACUUAAUGAUUUAUCUAUAUAA